Molecule: ribosomal RNA, 446 nt
Filed under: uncultured bacterium
Lineage: Bacteria
Description: bacterial SSU rRNA
Rfam family: Bacterial small subunit ribosomal RNA
Source: RNAcentral
CCAGACUCCUACGGGAGGCAGCAGUGGGGAAUAUUGCACAAUGGGGGAAACCCUGAUGCAGCGACGCCGCGUGAGCGAUGAAGUAUUUCGGUAUGUAAAGCUCUAUCAGCAGGGAAGAAAAUGACGGUACCUGACUAAGAAGCCCCGGCUAACUACGUGCCAGCAGCCGCGGUAAUACGUAGGGGGCAAGCGUUAUCCGGAUUUACUGGGUGUAAAGGGAGCGUAGACGGUCCUGCAAGCCAGAUGUGAAAGCCCGGGGCUCAACCCCGGGACUGCAUUUGGAACUGUAAGGCUAGAGUGUCGGAGAGGCAGGCGGAAUUCCUAGUGUAGCGGUGAAAUGCGUAGAUAUACGGAGGAACACCAGUGGCGAAGGCGGAUUGCUGGACAGUAACUGACGCUGAGGCGCGAAAGCGUGGGGAGCAACCAGGAUUAGAUACCCGCGUAUA